This 252-nucleotide ribosomal RNA is filed under the name uncultured Odoribacter sp. Its description in RNAcentral is "partial 16S ribosomal RNA". It matches the Rfam family "Bacterial small subunit ribosomal RNA", at positions 524 to 776 of the family's 1533-position model. The record is from RNAcentral. Lineage: Bacteria; Pseudomonadati; Bacteroidota; Bacteroidia; Bacteroidales; Odoribacteraceae.
UACGUAGGGGGCAAGCGUUAUCCGGAUUUAUUGGGUUUAAAGGGUGCGUAGGCGGUUUUUUAAGUUAGUGGUUAAACGUCGGGGCUUCACCUUGAUUUGCCAUUAAUACUGUAAGACUCGAGUUCAGACGAGGUAGGCGGAAUAAGUUAAGUAGCGGUGAAAUGCUUAGAUAUAACUUAGAACUCCGAUAGCGAAGGCAGCUUACCAGACUGCGACUGACGCUCAGGCACGAAAGUGUGGGUAUCGAACAGG